UGGCACUUGCCACCUCUGAAUAUAUUUAUGUGUAUCUUUUUUUUCUAUAUAUAUAUAUAGAGAAUAUAUAUAGAUACACAUAAAUAUAUUCAGAGGUGGCAAGUGCCA
Non-coding RNA from Pelobates cultripes (western spadefoot toad), 108 nucleotides. The record is from the annotation of a GenBank genome assembly. NCBI's taxonomy places the organism in Eukaryota, Metazoa, Chordata, Amphibia, Anura, Pelobatidae.